GGGGAAUAUUGCACAAUGGACGAAAGUCUGAUGCAGCAACGCCGCGUGGAGGAUGACACAUUUCGGUGCAUAAACUCCUUUUAUAUAAGAAGAUAAUGACGGUAUUAUAUGAAUAAGCACCGGCUAACUCCGUGCCAGCAGCCGCGGUAAUACGGAGGGUGCAAGCGUUACUCGGAAUCACUGGGCGUAAAGAGCGUGUAGGCGGAUUGAUAGGUUUGAAGUGAAAUCCUAUAGCUUAACUAUAGAACUGCUUUGAAAACUGUUAAUCUAGAAUGUGGGAGAGGUAGAUGGAAUUUCUGGUGUAAGGGUAAAAUCCGUAGAGAUCAGAAGGAAUACCAAUUGCGAAGGCGAUCUACUGGAACAAUAUUGACGCUGAGACGCGAAAGCGUGGGGAGCAAACAGGA
RNAcentral lists this ribosomal RNA (404 nucleotides) under uncultured bacterium. Its description in RNAcentral is "bacterial SSU rRNA". It matches the Rfam family "Bacterial small subunit ribosomal RNA", at positions 356 to 777 of the family's 1533-position model. The record is from RNAcentral.